RNAcentral lists this ribosomal RNA (468 nucleotides) under uncultured bacterium. RNAcentral describes it as "partial 16S ribosomal RNA". It matches the Rfam family "Bacterial small subunit ribosomal RNA", at positions 28 to 507 of the family's 1533-position model. The record is from RNAcentral.
GACGAACGCUGGCGGCGUGCUUAACACAUGCAAGUCGACCGGAAAGGCCCUGCUUUUGUGGGGUGCUCGCGUGGCGAACGGGUGAGUAACACGUGAGUAACCUGCCCUUGACUUUGGGAUAACUUCAGGAAACUGGGGCUAAUACCGGAUAGGAGCUCCUGCUGCAUGGUGGGGGUUGGAAAGUUUAUGCGGUUGGGGAUGGACUCGCGGCUUAUCAGCUUGUUGGUGGGGUAGUGGCUUACCAAGGCUUUGACGGGUAGCCGGCCUGAGAGGGUGACCAGCCACAUUGGGACUGAGAGACGGCCCAGACUCCUACGGGGGGCAGCAGUGGGGAAUAUUGCACAACGGGCGGAAGCCUGAUGCAGCAACGCCGCGUGCGUGAUGACGGCCUGCGGGUUGUAAACCGCUUUCGCCUGUGACGAAGCGUGAGUGACGGUAAUGGGUAAAGAAGCACCGGCUAACUACGUG